This 254-nucleotide ribosomal RNA is filed under the name uncultured bacterium. Its description in RNAcentral is "partial 16S ribosomal RNA". It matches the Rfam family "Bacterial small subunit ribosomal RNA", at positions 524 to 776 of the family's 1533-position model. The record is from RNAcentral.
UACGUAGGGUGCGAGCGUUGUCCGGAAUUAUUGGGCGUAAAGAGCUCGUAGGCGGUGUGUCACGUCGGCCGUGAAAACCUGCAGCUUAACUGUGGGUGUGCGGUCGAUACGGGCAUCACUGGAGUUCGGCAGGGGAGACUGGAAUUCCUGGUGUAGCGGUGAAAUGCGCAGAUAUCAGGAGGAACACCGGUGGCGAAGGCGGGUCUCUGGGCCGAUACUGACGCUGAGGAGCGAAAGCGUGGGGAGCAAACAGG